AUAAAAUGUUUGCAAAUAGUAUCAAAACAUUGACUCAUCUACCACUUCUCCCCUCUUCAUCAGGUCGUUUUUGGUAGCAAACUGGCACAUCAUGUCUAAUCAAGUACAUGUGAAGUAUUUGUUGUCAUUUGAUUGCUUGCA
Molecule: non-coding RNA, 141 nt
Organism: Caenorhabditis elegans
Lineage: Eukaryota; Metazoa; Nematoda; Chromadorea; Rhabditida; Rhabditidae
Source: Ensembl